UGCAAGUAGAACGCUGAAANAGAGGAGCUUGCUCUUCUUGGAUGAGUUGCGAACGGGUGAGUAACGCGUAGGUAACCUGCCUUGUAGCGGGGGAUAACUAUUGGAAACGAUAGCUAAUACCGCAUAACAAUAGGUGACACAUGUCAUUUAUUUGAAAGGGGCAAUUGCUCCACUACAAGAUGGACCUGCGUUGUAUUAGCUAGUAGGUGAGGUAACGGCUCACCUAGGCGACGAUACAUAGCCGACCUGAGAGGGUGACCGGCCACACUGGGACUGAGACACGGCCCAGACUCCUACGGGAGGCAGCAGUAGGGAAUCUUCGGCAAUGGGGGCAACCCUGACCGAGCAACGCCGCGUGAGUGAAGAAGGUUUUCGGAUCGUAAAGCUCUGUUGUAAGUCAAGAACGAGUGUGAGAGUGGAAAGUUCACACUGUGACGGUAGCUUACCAGAAAGGGACGGCUAACUACGUGCCAGCAGCCGCGGUAAUACGUAGGUCCCGAGCGUUGUCCGGAUUUAUUGGGCGUAAAGCGAGCGCAGGCGGUUAGAUAAGUCUGAAGUUAAAGGCUGUGGCUUAACCAUAGUACGCUUUGGAAACUGUUUAACUUGAGUGCAAGAGGGGAGAGUGGAAUUCCAUGUGUAGCGGUGAAAUGCGUAGAUAUAUGGAGGAACACCGGUGGCGAAAGCGGCUCUCUGGCUUGUAACUGACGCUGAGCUCGAAAGCGUGGGGAGCAAACAGGAUUAGAUACCCUGGUAGUCCACGCCGUAAACGAUGAGUGCUAGUGUUAGACCCUUUCCGGGGUUUAGUGCCGCAGCUAACGCAUUAAGCACUCCGCCUGGGGAGUACGACCGCAAGGUUGAAACUCAAAGGAAUUGACGGGGGCCC
This 883-nucleotide ribosomal RNA is filed under the name uncultured bacterium. RNAcentral's name for it is "bacterial SSU rRNA". It matches the Rfam family "Bacterial small subunit ribosomal RNA", at positions 56 to 922 of the family's 1533-position model. The record is from RNAcentral.